This 84-nucleotide transfer RNA is filed under the name Olavius algarvensis spirochete endosymbiont. It matches the Rfam family "tRNA". From Rfam's summary of the family: Transfer RNA (tRNA) molecules are approximately 80 nucleotides in length. Lineage: Bacteria; Pseudomonadati; Spirochaetota; Spirochaetia; Spirochaetales. The record is from Rfam by way of RNAcentral.
GCGGCAGUGGUGGAAUCGGUAGACACGCCAGCUUGAGGGGCUGGUGACGGCAACGUUGUGGAGGUUCAAAUCCUCUCUGCCGCA